This 475-nucleotide ribosomal RNA is filed under the name uncultured organism. RNAcentral describes it as "partial 16S ribosomal RNA". It matches the Rfam family "Bacterial small subunit ribosomal RNA", at positions 334 to 800 of the family's 1533-position model. The record is from RNAcentral.
CACUCCUGCGGGAGGCAGCAGUGGGGAAUAUUGCACAAUGGGCGCAAGCCUGAUGCAGCCAUGCCGCGUGUAUGAAGAAGGCCUUCGGGUUGUAAAGUACUUUCAGCGGGGAGGAAGGCGAUAAGGUUAAUAACCUUGUUGAUUGACGUUACCCGCAGAAGAAGCACCGGCUAACUCCGUGCCAGCAGCCGCGGUAAUACGGAGGGUGCAAGCGUUAAUCGGAAUUACUGGGCGUAAAGCGCACGCAGGCGGUCUGUCAAGUCGGAUGUGAAAUCCCCGGGCUCAACCUGGGAACUGCAUUCGAAACUGGCAGGCUAGAGUCUUGUAGAGGGGGGUAGAAUUCCAGGUGUAGCGGUGAAAUGCGUAGAGAUCUGGAGGAAUACCGGUGGCGAAGGCGGCCCCCUGGACAAAGACUGACGCUCAGGUGCGAAAGCGUGGGGAGCAAACAGGAUUAGAUACCCGUGUAGUCCCAUGA